This 28-nucleotide ribosomal RNA is filed under the name Steinernema scapterisci (mole cricket nematode). RNAcentral's name for it is "partial 28S ribosomal RNA". The record is from RNAcentral. Lineage: Eukaryota; Metazoa; Nematoda; Chromadorea; Rhabditida; Steinernematidae.
AGGAUUUCCUUAGUAACGGCGAGUGAAA